Molecule: ribosomal RNA, 494 nt
Filed under: Clavispora lusitaniae
Lineage: Eukaryota; Fungi; Ascomycota; Pichiomycetes; Serinales; Metschnikowiaceae
Description: eukaryotic LSU rRNA
Rfam family: Eukaryotic large subunit ribosomal RNA
Source: RNAcentral
AACGGCGAGUGAAGCGGCAAAAGCUCAAAUUUGAAAUCCUGCGGGAAUUGUAAUUUGAAGGUUUCGUGGUCUGAGUCGGCCGCGCCCAAGUCCAUUGGAACAUGGCGCCUGGGAGGGUGAGAGCCCCGUAUGGCGCACGCCGACUCUUUGCACCGCGGCUCCGACGAGUCGAGUUGUUUGGGAAUGCAGCUCUAAGUGGGUGGUAAAUUCCAUCUAAAGCUAAAUAUUGGCGAGAGACCGAUAGCGAACAAGUACAGUGAUGGAAAGAUGAAAAGCACUUUGAAAAGAGAGUGAAACAGCACGUGAAAUUGUUGAAAGGGAAGGGCUUGCAAGCAGACACGGUUUUACCGGGCCAGCGUCAAAUAAACGGGGGGGAAAAGGGGGAAAGAAUGUGGCGCGUGCCUUCGGGUUCGCGUGUUAUAGCUUUCUCUAAUACCCCCAUGUUUGUUUGAGGCCUGCGAUUCUAGGACGCUGGCGUAAUGGUUGCAAGCCGC